RNAcentral lists this long non-coding RNA (299 nucleotides) under Oryza brachyantha (malo sina). RNAcentral describes it as "long non-coding RNA (OBRA_LNC001228)". The record is from RNAcentral. Lineage: Eukaryota; Viridiplantae; Streptophyta; Magnoliopsida; Poales; Poaceae.
GCUUUGUCGCUUCCCUACUGGCGCAGAGGAAGGAACACAGGAAAGUGAUAAGCGCUGAGGCGAGCAAGCAAGGAUCAGGUUAGAACAGACUGGUCACUGAUGCUAUGGACUGGAUUGAGCAAGUUUCAACCGAGAAGACUCACAAUUUCGCUUGCGUUGAUGAAAAGAGAUGGCAACCGGUUUCUGUUUUUUGGGUUAAUGAAGUUCAGCAGCAUGCUCUGCUGGAUUCCAAAAGUGCUAACAUCUGCAAUCUGCAUUACGAAGGAUCAGGUGUCAACUGCAUUUCCAAAUCCGACUAA